Molecule: ribosomal RNA, 274 nt
Filed under: uncultured Bacteroidota bacterium
Lineage: Bacteria; Pseudomonadati; Bacteroidota
Description: uncultured Bacteroidetes bacterium partial 16S ribosomal RNA
Rfam family: Bacterial small subunit ribosomal RNA
Source: RNAcentral
CAUAAGAAGUAGCAAUACUUUUGGUGGCGACCGGCGGAUGGGUGAGUAACGCGUAUGCAACCUACCCUAUACAGGGAGAUAGCCCGUUGAAAGACGGAUUAAUAUUCCAUAUUAUCUUUAUGUCGCCUGACAUUUUGAUGAAAGAUUUAUUGGUAUAGGAUGGGCAUGCGUUUCAUUAGUUUGUUGGUGAGGUAACGGCUCACCAAGACUACGAUGAAUAGGGGAACUGAGAGGUUUAUCCCCCACACUGGGACUGAGACACGGCCCAGACUCC